GACGAACGCUGGCGGCGUGCUUAACACAUGCAAGUCGAACGGAAAGGCCCUGCUUUUGUGGGGUGCUCGAGUGGCGAACGGGUGAGUAACACGUGAGUAACCUGCCCUUGACUUUGGGAUAACUUCAGGAAACUGGGGCUAAUACCGGAUAGGAGCUCCUGCUGCAUGGUGGGGGUUGGAAAGUUUCGGCGGUUGGGGAUGGACUCGCGGCUUAUCAGCCUGUUGGUGGGGUAGUGGCUUACCAAGGCCUUGACGGGUAGCCGGCCUGAGAGGGUGACCGGCCACAUUGGGACUGGGAUACGGCCCAGACUCCUACGGGAGGCAGCAGUGGGGAAUAUUGCACAAUGGGCGGAAGCCUGAUGCAGCAACGCCGCGUGCGGGAUGACGGCCUUCGGGUUGUAAACCGCUUUCGCCUGUGACGAAGCGUGAGUGACGGUAAUGGGUAAAGAAGCACCGGCUAACUACGUG
RNAcentral lists this ribosomal RNA (468 nucleotides) under uncultured bacterium. Its description in RNAcentral is "partial 16S ribosomal RNA". It matches the Rfam family "Bacterial small subunit ribosomal RNA", at positions 28 to 507 of the family's 1533-position model. The record is from RNAcentral.